UACGUAGGGGGCGAGCGUUGUCCGGAUUUACUGGGCGUAAAGAGCGCGUAGGCGGCACUUUAAGCGUGGCCUGAAAGCCCCCGGCUCAACCGGGGAGUGCGGCUGCGAACUGGGUUUCUUGAGGACGAUAGAGGAGAGUGGAAUUCCUGGUGUAGCGGUGAAAUGCGUAGAUAUCAGGAGGAACACCCGAGGCGAAGGCGGCUCUCUGGGUCGUACCUGACGCUGAGGCGCGAAAGCGUGGGGAGCGAACGGG
This 253-nucleotide ribosomal RNA is filed under the name uncultured bacterium. RNAcentral's name for it is "partial 16S ribosomal RNA". It matches the Rfam family "Bacterial small subunit ribosomal RNA", at positions 524 to 776 of the family's 1533-position model. The record is from RNAcentral.